Long non-coding RNA from Phacochoerus africanus (Common warthog), 2027 nucleotides. RefSeq lists it as uncharacterized. The record is from RefSeq and is a predicted model, not a curated record. The transcript has 2 exons. Lineage: Eukaryota; Metazoa; Chordata; Mammalia; Artiodactyla; Suidae.
GGGCGGGCUGAGCUCACACACCGGGAAGCCGCCGCUGCGGAGCCGAGGCCGCCGCCGCUGCGCAUCUCGCGCUCUCCGCUGGGCGCUCGCGGGGGCGGCGAGGCGGUUGUGCGGGCCCCCGGGAGGGAGGCGGACACGCGAGAGGAACGGCAAAUGACAGAGCGGAGGGAAGGCUGGCCCAGCCAAUCCUGGAGCCGCUGCAGCACUGGUUCCCCAAACAAACACAUUCUGGUGCAAGGACAGAGAGGAGGGGGCUGCUGGCCCACACCCCUCCCCUGCCGGUAGCCCCCUGGCCGCUCCCCUGUGGGGAGGGCAGCUGGACAGAGGCUGCCCUGGGCCGGGCUGGUGAUGGUGCUGCGGCCCCUCCCUGCUGCCCAGCGUGGGAGGAAGAAGGCAGAGCCAGGCAAGUCUCCCUCUGCGUCCUCUGGGGUGGAAGGAGCAGGUAGAGACAGGGCUGGGGCAGCCAGGGCCGGGUGUUGCUUUGGCAUGGGUGGCGAGAGGGCUGCACCUCCAGCCCCUUGGGUCUGGUUCCACUCCCGGCCUGUCCCUGGCACUCAGCAACUGCGUCUAUGUGCCUGUUGGUGCCACCAUGUUAUAUAACGCUUAUAUAAUCUCCCAGGGCAAGCGCUGUGUCUCCGUUGUCAGGUCACACAGACGCUGUGUCCGUGUGGGAGUCAGGAUCUGUGGGAGCCCGGGGGUGGGCCUGCGCCCUCUGCUCCCGGUCCCGGCCGUGGAGGGGGAGAUGGGCGAGCAGGGGCCCAUGGCACACCAGCUGUCUGCGCCUGAGAAAGAAGGGCUGGCUGGGCAGCCGUCCUCUCCUUGCCCCCGCAUGUCCCCCCUUGCCCGGUGGAUCCUCUUGUGGAGCGGAUGCCCUUCUGGUGCCCGAGAGGUCAGCUUUCUGUUCUUGGGGCGCCCCUGGCACGCAGAUGGGUGUGGUGAGAUGACCCCCGGAACGUUGCAGGGGGAAGAGUACGUGGUACCUGGGGUUGCAUAAAGAGAGCGAGAGAUGAGCUCUGCCUUUGAGGUUUUGAGCAAGAGCGCCUGGAAGGAUGGGCUGGUGGUGGCAUUCUAAGAAGCUGGGAGCCGGCCUAGGGGCUAGAGGAUGGCCAGGGAAGGGUGUGCGGGGAAGUGGAUCAGACAGCAAAGAUAAACAUGGUGUUCUUUUACUGUACUCUCCACUGGGCUGUCCCUGGUUACCAGGGCAACAGAAGCAGUGAUGAAAAUCAUGCCUUUCGUUCAGUGGAAAAAUCUGGCUCCUCCUCCCGCCUCUUCCUUCUCUAAUCGCCUGCAACCUAUUGGGAGGGUAGUGGCUCCAGGGAUCAGAGACCCCAGUGUGUCCCUCUCAGGGCCCCCCCUUCCCCGUUUUUUGUCAUCGUCCGCCUUCCUGCAUCCCCUCUUUCCCCCAGAGCUCGGUAAUUGGCAGUUGCGUAGGAGUUGGACUUCGUGGAGGGGGAAGGGUGCGGACGUCAUCGCAGGGCAGGGCGAGCCGAGCGUGGGCAGAGAUGUGGAUGCGGGAAGCCACGGGCACACGAGGAGGGUCAGGCAUUGAUCAGCUCGAUGGGGCUCGUUCCUGGGGGUGGAAGGGGUGGGGGAGACAAUGGAAAACCUGCAGAGCCUGGCGUCUGGGCCUGUGGUGGUGGGAAGAGGAGGCUCAGGUGUCUGGGGUGGUCAUGGCUCCUGACGCGAGCUAGGACUCAUUCAUUGCGCACUUUUUUAGGGGUGUCUGCCAUGUUAGGUAAGGUUCUGGGAGCUGGGAAGACGCAGGUAAGUAAGCCUGGGCCUUGACCUUGAAGAGAUUGUGGGAGAUGGGAGGAGGACGGGCAUGUGGGGAAAGAGCAGCUGGCAUUGUGACCAGCCUAGAAUCUGGGGCCCCGGGCAGGAGAUGGGCCACAUUCCCGCCCGGAGGUGAUGGAUUAAGGUGGGGCCUGUGGGAAUUCGGAGGAGGAGGUAGUCAGAGAGCCCCUUUGGCUUGGAGACAGGACAUGGGGGAGAGAAGGUGCUGACAGUUUGAGCCUUAAUGAUUGACA